Molecule: ribosomal RNA, 433 nt
Filed under: uncultured bacterium
Lineage: Bacteria
Description: partial 16S ribosomal RNA
Rfam family: Bacterial small subunit ribosomal RNA
Source: RNAcentral
AACGAACGCUGGCGGCAUGCCUAACACAUGCAAGUCGAACGAGACCUUCGGGUCUAGCGGCGCACGGGUGCGUAACGCGUGGGAACCUGCCCUUAGGUUCGGAAUAACUCCCCGAAGGGGGUGCUAAUACCGGUUAAUGUCUUCGGACCAAAGAUUUAUCGCCUUUGGAUGGGCCCGCGUUGGAUUAGCUAGUUGGUAGGGUAAAAGCCUACCAAGGCGACGAUCCAUAGCUGGUCUGAGAGGAUGAUCAGCCACGCUGGGACUGAGACACGGCCCAGACUCCUACGGGAGGCAGCAGUGGAGAAUAUUGUACAAUGGGCGAAAGCCUGAUCCAGCAAUGCCGGGUAAGUGAUGAAUGCCUUAGGGUUGUAAAGCUCUUUGACCCGGGAUGAUAAUGACAGUACCGGGAGAAUAAGCUCCGGCUAACUCCGUG